Molecule: ribosomal RNA, 255 nt
Filed under: uncultured bacterium
Lineage: Bacteria
Description: partial 16S ribosomal RNA
Rfam family: Bacterial small subunit ribosomal RNA
Source: RNAcentral
UACGUAGGGCCCGAGCGUUAUCCGGAGUGACUGGGCGUAAAGAGUUGCGUAGGCGGUUUGUUAAGCAGAUAGUGAAAUCAUAUGGCUCAACCAUUAUGGCUAUUGUCUGAACUGGCAAACUCGAGAGUGGUAGAGGUAACUGGAAUUUCUAGUGUAGGAGUGAAAUCCGUAGAUAUUAGAAGGAACACCAAUGGCGUAGGCAGGUUACUGGACCAUUUCUGACGCUAAGGCACGAAAGCGUGGGGAGCGAACCGG